GACGCUUAGGCUAAAAUUUUAAGCUGUGGGCCUUCAAAGCCCAAGAUAGGAAAAUUUUCUAGCUUCUGUAAGGCCC
RNAcentral lists this transfer RNA (76 nucleotides) under Uroplatus lineatus. RNAcentral's name for it is "tRNA-Trp". The record is from RNAcentral. Lineage: Eukaryota; Metazoa; Chordata; Lepidosauria; Squamata; Gekkonidae.